UUAUACCCUUAUAAAAGUAAUUAUGCUAGAACUAGUAACAAGAAAUUGAAUUUCUCCUAAAUGUAAGCAUAACCCAUAUGGACCCCCCCCGGCACUUAACGUCUGUGCAAUCUUUAUAAUAACAUUACUCAAGAAAGCCUUAUUAAAUUAAACGUUUACCUAACCCCAGAACAUUUCAGGAAAGAUUAAAAGAGAGAGAAGGAACUCGGCAAAUUUUAGCCCCGCCUGUUUACCAAAAACAUCGCCUUUUGACAUAAUAUAAGAGGUCCAGCCUGCCCGGUGACAAAGUUUAACGGCUACGGUACCCUGACCGUACGAAGGUAGCAUAAUCACUUGUUCCUUAAAUAGGGACUUGUAUCAACGGCAUCACGAGGGCUGCACUGUCUCCUCUCUCCAAUCAGUGAAACUGAUCUCCCCGUGAAGAAGCGGGGAUUGAACUAUAAGACGAGAAGACCCCAUGGAGCUUUAAACAACGUAUCCACACUAUAUUAGUAUAUCAACUUAAUAAAAGCCCUGAAUACAAGUUUUAGGUUGGGGAGACCGCGGAGUAUAAUCAAACCUCCACGACAGACGGCUCAAGCCCUUAUCCACGAGUUACAACUCUAAGAAUCAGUACUCUGAUGAUUAUGACCCGAUACUAUUCGACUAACGAACUAAGUUACCCUGGGGAUAACAGCGCAAUCUACUUCAAGAGCUCAUAUCGACAAGUAGGUUUACGACCUCGAUGUUGG
RNAcentral lists this ribosomal RNA (731 nucleotides) under Amnirana darlingi (Darling's white-lipped frog). RNAcentral describes it as "partial 16S ribosomal RNA". It matches the Rfam family "Bacterial large subunit ribosomal RNA", at positions 1272 to 2535 of the family's 2925-position model. Lineage: Eukaryota; Metazoa; Chordata; Amphibia; Anura; Ranidae. The record is from RNAcentral.